RNAcentral lists this ribosomal RNA (1400 nucleotides) under uncultured bacterium. RNAcentral's name for it is "bacterial SSU rRNA". It matches the Rfam family "Bacterial small subunit ribosomal RNA". The record is from RNAcentral.
UUAGAGUUUGAUCCUGGCUCAGGAUGAACGCUAGCGGCAGGCUUAACACAUGCAAGUCGAGGGGCAACGAGAUCAGUGCUUGCACUGAUUGUCGGCGACCGGCGCACGGGUGCGUAACGCGUAUGCAACCUACCCAUUACAGGGGGAUAACACUGAGAAAUCGGUACUAAUACCCCAUAACAUCCAGGGAGGCAUCUUCUUGGGUUGAAAACUCCGGUGGUAAUGGAUGGGCAUGCGUUGUAUUAGUUAGUUGGUGGGGUAACGGCUCACCAAGACAACGAUACAUAGGGGGACUGAGAGGUUAACCCCCCACAUUGGUACUGAGACACGGACCAAACUCCUACGGGAGGCAGCAGUGAGGAAUAUUGGUCAAUGGACGCAAGUCUGAACCAGCCAUGCCGCGUGCAGGAAGACGGCUCUAUGAGUUGUAAACUGCUUUUGUACGAGGGUAAACGCAGAUACGCGUAUCUGUCUGAAAGUAUCGUACGAAUAAGGAUCGGCUAACUCCGUGCCAGCAGCCGCGGUAAUACGGAGGAUUCAAGCGUUAUCCGGAUUUAUUGGGUUUAAAGGGUGCGUAGGCGGUCGGAUAAGUUAGAGGUGAAAUCCCGGGGCUCAACUUCGGAAUUGCCUCUGAUACUGUUCGGCUAGAGAGUAGUUGCGGUAGGCGGAAUGUAUGGUGUAGCGGUGAAAUGCUUAGAGAUCAUACAGAACACCGAUUGCGAAGGCAGCUUACCAAGCUACUUCUGACGUUGAGGCACGAAAGCGUGGGGAGCAAACAGGAUUAGAUACCCUGGUAGUCCACGCAGUAAACGAUGAUAACUCGUUGUCGGCGAUACAGUGUCGGUGACUAAGCGAAAGCGAUAAGUUAUCCACCUGGGGAGUACGUUCGCAAGAAUGAAACUCAAAGGAAUUGACGGGGGCCCGCACAAGCGGAGGAACAUGUGGUUUAAUUCGAUGAUACGCGAGGAACCUUACCCGGGCUUGAAAGUUAGUGACGGAUCUUGAAAGAGGUCUUCCCUUCGGGGCACGAAACUAGGUGCUGCAUGGUUGUCGUCAGCUCGUGCCGUGAGGUGUCGGGUUAAGUCCCAUAACGAGCGCAACCCCUACCGUUAGUUGCCAGCAGGUCAAGCUGGGCACUCUGACGGGACUGCCGGUGUAAGCCGAGAGGAAGGUGGGGAUGACGUCAAAUCAGCACGGCCCUUACGUCCGGGGCUACACACGUGUUACAAUGGCAGGUACAGAGGGCAGCUACCCAGCGAUGGGAUGCGAAUCUCGAAAGCCUGUCUCAGUUCGGAUUGGAGGCUGAAACCCGCCUCCAUGAAGUUGGAUUCGCUAGUAAUCGCGCAUCAGCCAUGGCGCGGUGAAUACGUUCCCGGGCCUUGCACUCACCGCCCGUCAAG